GAAGUAUUAAUAUUUAACUAAUUUGCAUUUAGUUGUAGAGGUAAUUUA
Molecule: transfer RNA, 48 nt
Filed under: Harpactocrates apennicola
Lineage: Eukaryota; Metazoa; Arthropoda; Arachnida; Araneae; Dysderidae
Description: tRNA-Ala
Source: RNAcentral